UGGGGAAUUUUGGACAAUGGGCGAAAGCCUGAUCCAGCAAUGCCGCGUGUGUGAAGAAGGCCUUCGGGUUGUAAAGCACUUUUGUCCGGAAAGAAAUCCUUGGCUCUAAUACAGUCGGGGGAUGACGGUACCGGAAGAAUAAGCACCGGCUAACUACGUGCCAGCAGCCGCGGUAAUACGUAGGGUGCAAGCGUUAAUCGGAAUUACUGGGCGUAAAGCGUGCGCAGGCGGUUUGCUAAGACCGAUGUGAAAUCCCCGGGCUAACCUGGGAACUGCAUUGGUGACUGGCAGGCUAGAGUAUGGCAGAGGGGGGUAGAAUUCCACGUGUAGCAGUGAAAUGCGUAGAGAUGUGGAGGAAUACCGAUGGCGAAGGCAGCCCCCUGGGCCAAUACUGACGCUCAUGCACGAAAGCGUGGGGAGCAAACAGGAUUAGAUACCCUGGUAGUCCACGCCCUAAAACGAUGUCAACUAGUUGUUGGGGAUUCAUUUCCUUAGUAACGUAGCUAACGCGUGAAGUUGACCGCCUGGGGAGUACGGUCGCAAGAUUAAAACUUAAAUGAAUUGACGGGGUCAUAGCUGUUUCCU
This 585-nucleotide ribosomal RNA is filed under the name uncultured bacterium. RNAcentral's name for it is "partial 16S ribosomal RNA". It matches the Rfam family "Bacterial small subunit ribosomal RNA", at positions 355 to 1375 of the family's 1533-position model. The record is from RNAcentral.